GCGCCACUAGCUCAAUUGGAUAGAGCAUCUGACUACGGAUCAGAAGGUUGCAGGUUCGACUCCUGCGUGGCGCGCCA
This 77-nucleotide transfer RNA is filed under the name Kiritimatiellia bacterium. RNAcentral's name for it is "Kiritimatiellae bacterium (gut metagenome) tRNA-Arg". It matches the Rfam family "tRNA". From Rfam's summary of the family: Transfer RNA (tRNA) molecules are approximately 80 nucleotides in length. Their secondary structure includes four short double-helical elements and three loops (D, anti-codon, and T loops). Lineage: Bacteria; Pseudomonadati; Kiritimatiellota; Kiritimatiellia. The record is from RNAcentral.